RNAcentral lists this long non-coding RNA (30594 nucleotides) under Oryza sativa (Asian cultivated rice). RNAcentral describes it as "long non-coding RNA (OSAT_LNC000416)". The record is from RNAcentral. Lineage: Eukaryota; Viridiplantae; Streptophyta; Magnoliopsida; Poales; Poaceae.
CUCGUCGAGGUGGCUGCCGGCCAUCUCGGCCGCCGCCGCGCCCCAGUUGAGCGGGUCCUCCUUGUUGAUCGGCCCGUUGCCCGCCAUUGCUACGGUGGUGGUGGUGGGCACGAGGAGAAGAGAGGAUUCGAUACUGAAGAAGAGCCGGAGGAGAAGGUAGUGAGCUCUUCUUGGAGGGAAAUGGAGGCGGAGGGGGCGCUUAAAUAGUGGCGCGGUGGACGGGGUGGGCGGGUGUAGGUAGGUAAGGCCUUUUCCUCUCUUCUCCCUCUGCCUAGUGGGUUGGUUGGUGGCUUGUAUGGUGGAUCUAUAAAAAAAAAAGAUAUAUAACUUCCAUCCUACUUUACUUUUUUGUUCCAUGGAGAAUGGUUUUUUCAUGUGCACUUGAACAUCACUACAUUAUCAUAUUUGGCCAAAAUUAAUGAAGGGCCAUAUUUGAAACACAUAAUUUCUCUUAGUUUCUAUAUGGGUCGAACUAUUUCUUGCGAUAAUAUUGCCCGUGGUCCAAACACGGAACGAUGAUUAUGACUUUCAAAAUUGAAACCGCCGUCGUGUUCACGAGUAAUCUAACCAACCUGAUGAAAAAUUUGGGACUUUUUGAAUGAAAGUGCCUCUUUUUUAGAAAAAAGAAUUUGUGGUGUGCAUUUGCCGAUGCUUUUGCUCACUUUUAAGAAUGUUUGUUUUCCAAUGGUUUUCCCUUUGUUCUAAAACUUUUCUGUUGUUGGUGAUCACGCAGUAGCCAGUAGGAAAGUGAAGGAGGGACAAAUCUCACCAACCCUGAAAAGGAAAACCAGGCUGCUCUCGAGUGGAAACCGGAGUUGUUGGCUGGACAAUUAUUGCGUGUGCAUCUCUGCCGAACAAAAAAAAAGAAGAAGAGAAAAUCAUUUGCUCUUCGCACUCAGCAGCACGCUCUGCGAUUAUUCACGUCAGUGCAAGGUCACUACACCUUAGAGAUAGAUAGAUAUGUCUCUCUUAAUAAAAAAAACAAAACAAGGAUUGAUAGAUCGAUAUAUAUCUAGAAGAUAUACCUCAACACUUCAACAGACAUUUUAGACUCAUUUGCUUGGAUAUUGUUUUCCACAUUUGCUGACUGUGUGAGCCAGCACACGGCUGGACUGUCAAAAUGGCAACCAGAAUCUCCCCCUUGUGCAAGGAUCACAAAAGAACAGAGCUCCAAAUCAUGUUAAAAGAGAUUAUAACCAGCACUCUAGCAGGUAUUGCAUUUAUGUGUACUAAUUAAGGAAAACCUUAUGUAAAAAUCCAAAUCAUAGAUUCUUAUCGGUUUUAAGUUUGUCUAUCUCGUUAAUAUUAUUUUGAUGAGAUACGGACAAAUAAUAAUUUUAAGGGGACAAUGAUAUAUAGAUAGAUGUUAUAAAAAAAUGGAGUUGACAUAUGUGCGUUUUAGGAAUUGGUAGACUACUUGUUUAGGUUGGUUCGGGGUCGUGAUACAAAGAAAACAAAAAUUUAUUUUUCUGUAGUUACAAAACAAACGAAUGUGGAGAUAAACCCAAAUCAUAGAUUCUUGUCAGUUUUAAGUUUCUCUAUACCGGUAAUAUUCUUUUGUUGAUAUACCAACAAAUAAAAACCUUGAGGGGGUCAAGCGGUACAUAAUUGUUAUAAAAGCGUAGUGACAUAUGUGUGGAUGUGUUUUAGGUAUUGGUAGACGACUUGUUUGGCUCGGUUUGGAGUUGCAACUCAAAGAAAACAAAAUUUUAUUUUUAUAGUUACAAAACAAAUGAACAUGGAGAUAAAUCCAAAUCAUAGAUUCUUGUCGGUUUCAAGUUUGUAUAUCCCGCAAUAUUCUUUUGAUGAGAUACCGACAAAUAACAACUUUAGUGGGGGCGGGGGGGUAACGGUCGAUAACUAAUAUAAAGAUGUAGCGACAUACGUGCACAUGCGCUUUAGGUAUUGGUAGACGUGCGUAUGCGUUCUACGUAUUGGUAGAUGACUUGUUUGGCUUAUUUCGGAAUCACAAUUCAAGGAAAACAACAUUUUUAGGUUUUUUUAGGUACAAAACAAACGAAUGUGGAGAUAAAUCCAAAUCAUAGAUUCUUGCCGGUUUUAAGUUUGUCUAUCCCGGUAAUAUUCCUUUGAUGAGAUACCGACAAAUAACAACUUUAAGGGGGUAGCGAUAGAUAACUGUUAUAAAGACAUAGCGACAUACAUGCACAUGCGCUCUAGGUAUUGGUAGAUGACUUGUUUGGCUCGGUUUGGAGUCACAACUCAAAGAAAACACAAAUGUAGUUUAAUUAUAAAACAAAAGGAUAUGGAUAUAAAUCUAAAGUGUAAAUUCUUGUCAGUUUGAAGCUCAUCAUUCCUGGUAAAUAUUCUUUGAUGAGAUAUCCACAAAUAACAACUUUAAAAGGUAACGAUAGACAACUAUUAUAGAAGGUAGUAACAUAUGUGCGAAUGCGUUCUAGAUUAUUGGUACACGAUUUGUUUGGCUCAGUCCAGAGUCGCGACUUAAAGAAAACAACAUUUUACUUUUAGUUACAAAACAAGCGGAUGUGGAUAUACAUCCAAACCACAUAUUCUUGUCGGUUUUAAGUAUUUUAUCCCGGUAAUAUAAGAUAACAAAUGUGUUUGUGGAAUCAGGGUUAAUAACAAAAGGCAGGGGUCAAAAAAUUAUAUACCUUGUUUCAGAGUAACCUUCUGAGCCAACUUCUUGGACAUAUAUUUUUUCCUUUUCGCAUAUUAACAUGGAAAUAUCUAUGGAGUUUUGUUAUAGAUAGACUACAAAAGUAAGGAUAUCUGCGAUAUAUAAUGCAUUGAUGACAGCUAACCAAGAUAGACAUGGGCAUGCCUUAUACUCCCUCCGUACUCAUAAAGGAAGUCGUUUAGGAUAAUGUUUAAGUCAAACAUUGGGAAUAUAAAUCAUAAAUAACUCUCAAGUUGUUGAGUUUGAAACUAUAAAAAUUAUAUGAAUAUAUUUGUCUUGAAAAAUACUUUCAUAAAAGUAUACAUAUAUUACUUUUCAAUAAAUAUUUUUAUAGAAACAAGAAGUUAAAGUUGUGUUUUGAAAACCGUGUCGCUAUCCAAAAUGACUUUCUUUACGAGUACGUAGGGAGUACCCUCGUUAGCUUCAAAUUUUAAAAGAUAUAUAAGAGGCACCUAGGUCAAAUACAUUUAUUUGGAGACAAAGUGAUAUGCAACCGCAGCCCUUCAUAUCUAGCACUACCAGUAUCAUUAAUCAACAGUGGGAAAAAAAACAAAAAUUGAAUGCAGUGCUAAUAGUAGUGCUAGGGGGGACAACAUAGAAUUGGUCAUGGUUGCGAUGGUGCAGUAGAUAACAAGACGAUCAAAUUUGAUUAUAAUUUUAUCAUGGUCUUUCCUGCUUCUUGUUUUCUUUAAUAUAAGUCAGUUAUAAAUUAAAAUGACAUAUGGUGUUUUUUUUUCCAGAAAAGUAGUACUAGGUGGAACAAAAAUCAAAAGAUGAAAUAUCUUCCAUGCCUAUUCCUAUUAAUGAAGUUUAGUGAGAUGCAUGCCUCCAAUUAAUUGUUGGUGUGACAGGUUGAAAGUGAUUCUCUUCUCCCACAGGAUUCCCCUUUUAAUUAAACCUGGUUCAGAGAAGUUCAUCGUGAUUAUAUUGAUAUGGAAAAAGUACGCCGAAGACCUCUCAACUUGUCAUCGGGGUUUCCCAGACUGCCGGGGCCGGGGUUACCGCGCCCCGGCAGUAAGCACGGUUACCGCGCGGUAACCGCACCGCGGUAACCGUGAAAAACCGUACAAAACCGUGCAAAAUUUAUCAAAAAUUCAAAUUAUUUUUUAAAUUUAUUUGAAUUUAAGGAGGUUACCGCGGUAUUUAUAUUACCGUACCCCCGCGGUAAGCCCGGUAACCGCGCGGUUACCAGCGGUAAGUCGAACCCUGCUUGUCAUCGAGUUACAAAAUUGUUCCCUAACCGCAAAACCAGAUAUAUGACACCCCUCAACUCACAAAACCGUACACUUUAAGUCCUUCGGUUGUUUUGACCCCAGUUUUAUCCGAUGUGGCUGCUGAGUCAGCAUGGGACCACAUGGACCCCACAUGUCAGUGUAUCCACGUCAGCACCCUCUCUCUUGCCCCUCUUCUCUCUCUUCCUCCUCUCUCACAUUCUUCUCGUUUGGAUAGGCCAGUCGACAGGUGGAGAGGAGGUUGGCAGUGUGAGGCAGGAGAGAAGGAGGGCAUCGGCGGCCGGCGACAGGCGACGUGGCGGUGGCAGCAACAACAAGGGAGAAGGGGAGGCGGUGGUUGCAGAGGCCGCAGGCGUGGAGGAGGGCGUUGGUGGUCGACGACGGGCGAAGCAGGAGAAGGGGAGGCAGCGGCGCACGAAUUCACGCCGCGGUUGCAUCUCCUCCGCCGCCGCACCACACUGCGGCAGGGUCGAGCGAGCCAUGGAACAUUGGCAUCAAGGUGGAGCAGCUAGGUACGGCCGGCAGCCAGUGGGGGAGCAGCUGGGCGCGGGCGACGGGCGUAGGCGGCGGGGGGAGGAGCUGCGCAUGGGCGGUGGCUGGCGGGGAAGCAGCUGGCCACCCCACUUCCAUCUCUGGCACGAGCCGCUUGAAUGCCUCCGUGUGGUGCUCGUCGUUGUCACCGGCGAGGCGACGCAUAUCCAUGACACUGGCUGAGUCGUCGUACUCGGCCUCGAUGAACAUGACACCUAGGGAGAUGGCCGCAACAGAGUAGUCGAUGACGACAUUGUCGUGGGAGGGGCGUUUGAGCUUCUUCCCCGACGCCUGCCUCCCGCACGCAGCUCCUCCCCCGCCGCCCACGCGUAGCUCCUCCCCCCGUCGCCCAUGAAUUCAUGCUCAUGGGCCCGCUUCUCCUCCGCCGCCGCCUCGUGGGCCUCGUCCCCUCCCUCCUCGCGGCGCACCCGUUCGUCUCGCACGACGUCAGCGUCGCUGCCAUUACCGCCGCCACGUCACUGCCAUUACCGCUGCCGCGUCGCCCGUCGCCGGGCACCGACGCCCUCCUCCUCUCCCGCCUCAUCCCGCUAGCCAGCCUCGCAGAGAAGUGAGAGAGAGAGAGGAGGAAGGGAGAGAAGAGGGGAAAGAGAGGAGGUGUUGACGUGGACACGCUGACAUGUGGGGCCCACGCUGACUCAACCACCACGUCGAACAACGAUCAAAACCGCUGAAGGACCUAAAGUGAAUGGUUUUGUAAGUUGGGGGAUGUUAUAUAUCUGGUUUUGCGGUUGAGGGACGAUUUUGUAACUCGAUGACAAAUUGAGGGACCUUCGGUGUACUUUUUCCUAUUGAUAUUCCGGACCAACAAAAAAGAUCUGGCCCGAUCCAUUGCCUCAUCCCAAUCGGCCCAAGCUUCGUCGGCCUAGGGUUACCUACAUCAGAAAUAAGAAAAUGGAAGCAUUUUAGAGGGUGGAUCAUGCGACUAACAAGUAACAACCAUGCCGAAUUGCUGUACUGGCUGUCUGAAGCUAAGCCCGUAUACGAACACCAACACAAGGCCAGCCAAACAAUUGAAUGCACUAUUCAGCGGACAAUAGGAGUAUAUUAUUAGUGUAUUGCUCAGUUGAAGACUUGUAGCCUCAUCUUUUGCACUGCAAGAAGUACUCGUGUUACUCAUGGCUAAAAACUCUUCACGUCAGUUUGUCUGCAGCACGUGCGUGUGUGCAGGUUUAUCUCAGUUCCUCACAGGAUUACGGCGAUGACGACGAGAGGCCUUUCUCUUCUCUGACCGUCUUUCGAUCGCAUCCAUCUGCAUUCGUGCAGAGUAGUAGUCGGCUGCCGCUUCUGUUCCAGGCCGAGAUAAAGUGACAAAAACCACGGCCUGCAAAUUCAACAUCUGAGACACUACCUACCAAAAAGCCGAAAUGGUACUAGCUAGUUAUGACUUGGUUGCAUGGAUUGCUGGUAGAGGUUUGGUUGAACACUACUACUACAACCUCUAGAUGGAUGUCUUUUUUCUUUUUUCUCACCUAGUAUCUCAGCUGAACCUAAUGAUCGAUGUGUUGUCCAUAUCCAUUAAUCCAUAUGCAGCUCUGAACUGUACUCCUCUGAAGCAGACAGGUAGUUGAACUGGCUGUACGUUUCUUUUGCGAUCAGAUACAUGACAAGGAGCAUGCUUCUCGGUUUAGCUUACGCAUCUGCAGAAGCCAACGCCGAAUGAUGGUUUGUGAGCAGUGAACGACUACGAAGGCGAAAGUACUAUUGUGUGAUUGUGAAGCGGUAUAUUAGUCUUGUAUCUCUGACUCUGUCAUUAUUCGAGUUUUACUCAACUGACAUAAGUUUCGGUCCUUUUUUUAAAAGAAAAAUAAUGGAUAGAAAUCUGGCCUCUAUAUGCACAAGUGGAUAUACACAGCAAAUGAUUGAGUUACAGUCUCUGCCCCUCUUUAAAAUGCUACGACCUAUACUCUUUCUUUUUGCAAACAUCUCUUUCUUGAACUCUGAUCAUGAAGAAAAACAGAGUUUUCUUGUUUUAAAUAGAGCUAAAACUGAACAUCUUUGGUUGGUAGGAGUAUUUUUCUGCUGCUUUUUUUUCUCUUGUGUAGUUUAGUUCUAUCCAUAAAAGCAUUUGGCUAGGCGGCAGGAGCAACGAGAAAUCUAGUAGCAGCAUGUUACGAACAGAUAGCUGAAGCAAGCUCUGGAUCUGGUCCUUCAAUCUCGCAUCUACUUGCAGUUAGGAAUUCAAUUGAAGCUUGCGGCUACAUCACGCCAUGUGCAGAUGUGGCCUCUAAUGAUCAACUUAACUGUUCGUCUAUUGGGUGCCCCUGCAGUAAUCAUGCGCUUGUAUAUAAAAGGUCCUGUACUGUGGAGAAAAUUAGUGAAUAGUGCGGACAAGUCUCCCAGGAAUCUUGCAUCUUUGCAUUUGCAGCUGCAAGCAAGGGUGUCAACCUCGUUGCACUGACACAAUUAGCUGUCAUAAAUGGGGGAGUUUCUAUCGGUGAGAAGGAUCGCUCAUGCCCCCAUGGCUGUACAUCAAGGUUGGAGGAGCAAACGAACAAGGCACGUUGACGUCUGAACUAGAAUCAUUUUUGAAGUCUUGGGCCGUCUUUAGUCCCUGUCUAAUUUUUUUUAAAGUAUACGGACACACAUUUAAAAUAUUAAACGUAGUCUAAUAAUAAAACAAAUUAUAGAUUCCACUUGUAAACUGCGAGACAAAUUUAUUAAGCCUAAUUAAUCCGUCAUUAGUAAAUGUUUACCGUAGCACCACAUUAUUAAAUCAUGGUGUAAUUAGGCUCAAAAGAUUCGUCUCUUAAUUUACAUGCAAACUGUGCAAUUGGUUUUUUUUCGUCCAUAUUUAAUGCUUCAUGCAUAUGUCCAAAUAUUUAUUUUUUUAAAAAAAAAUUAAAAACAUAAGUCACGAAUAAAAUAUUAUUCAUGUUUUUUUAAAAAAAAUUCAAAUAAGACGAACGGUCAAAAUUGGACGCGGAAAACCAUGGCUGCACUUAUUUUGGGACGGAGGAAGUAGUAUUUCUCGUUAUGAUCUCCACUGCUGGUGGACAGUAGAGCAAAACUGAUCAACAAAGAAAAAAACAUCUAGGUUGUGUUUAGUUCACACUAAAACUAAAAUUAAAAGUUUGGUUGAAAUUGGAACGAUGUGAUGGAAAAGUUGGAAGUUUGUGUAUGUAGAAAAGUUUUGAUGUGAUGGAAAAUUUGGAAGUUUGAAGAAUUAUUUUAUAACUAAACAGGGCGCUACUCUUGUAUGCAUCACAAACUGAGUAGCUAGUACAAGGCUGUGUUCAGUUCCUUUUAAAGUUGAAAGUUUAGGUUGAAAUUGGUACGAUGUGACUGAAAAGUUAUAUGUGUAUGACAUGUUAAUGUGAUGGAAAAAGUUGAAAGUUUGAAUCCAAAGUUUGGAUCUAAACAUAGCCCAAAGUACAUCCAAUUUCAACAGAGUUGGGAGUUUGGACCAUGAAUCCAGGCGUAGUACCACUGCUUAUUGAGAAACACACGCUUCCAUGAUACCGACCACAUUUUCUCGUGGUAGGUACGAAUAACAAAUUGUAACAGCCAUCCUCGCGAGCUGACCACCAUGAUUAUAUAGCGAUUGGCCACCUGCAAAAGUUAGUCUGACUUGAACAUGGCCGCGUGUCUCCUGCAUUUUCGUGAUCUUGUACAGUUGUAAGUACCAUCAGAAAUAGAUACUGCUACAAAUCAGCAUUUUCGAGAAUAGUGUGUGUGGGCGCGCGCUUGACAAGACGAAAUGGAUGUGAAGAACUUCUUCAGAGAACGAGCAGCAGCUGUAAAACAAAAUAAUUUACUUUAGUCCCCCAACUUAUACAAAUUUACAGCACCAAAAGUUUCAGAAAGCUGCGUGCCAGGCCAUGCGGAACUGCAGGUUAUGGCAACCGCAGAAGCUGAAACAGCAACAGUAACAUCAAGUUAACUACAAAGAACCGUAAAAUAGUAUCAUCACCAUGUUCAUCUAGACAUAGUAGAAAACAUUCACACUCUCGAAAUGCUCUCUAUCUUUCAGUUUUGUGUUGCUAUACGUCUUCUUGUUUUGCAUUUUUUUUAGUAUUCCAUUUCUGUUCAGCAGAGUGGCAGUGGCGCGCCAUUCCAUUCCUUGAGGCAUUCGAGCAGCGGGUCGAUGUGCUUGCGCUCGUUGAUGGCGACGAGCACCUUGUUCAGCUCCUCGCCGGGCGACCGCGUCUUCUCGCCGGUGAGGUACUCGGUGCCGACCUCCUCGCGCACGAACCGGUAGAGCGGGUACGAGCGGCACUCCUUGAUCCGGUUGGGGACGAGCGGGGUGCCGUUCUCGACGGCGGCGCGGGCGGCCUCCACCUCCUUGGGCAGCGCGGCGCGGACGUGCUGCUCGAACUCGGCCACCUUGGCGAAGAUGGAGGUCUCCAGGACGCGCUCGGCGUCGCCGUUGGCGAGCGCGUGCUCGAUGAGCACCGCGCGGAGCUUCUGCAUCAACGGGUAGUUGGCGCUGCAGGGGUCGUCGGCGUAGGCGAACACGGCCUCGCGGUCGAUCGCGGUGAGCAGGUCCUUCUCGCAGAAGCGAGCGAUGUGGAGGCCGCCCAUGUGGUUCAUGCUCAGGGAUUUCUUGGCCACCUGCAUCACGCAGUUCUUCACCGCGGUCUUCAUGUUCUCCUCGAGGUGGCGCAGGUCGAUGGCUUGGCACAGGGCGAUCAAGAACGUGGAGGACAUGAGCUUCAGGAUGUCGAUGGCCUCGGCGGUCUUCCUGGAGGAGAUGAGACCAAGCGAGUUCACGUCCUGGUUGUGCUGCUCCGCGCUCUGGACAUGGUUGGUCACCGGGUUGCCCAAGAACUGGAGCUCGGAGCAGUACGACGCCAUGGCGAUCUCCGCGCCCUUGAACCCAUAGUCCAAGCUGGGGUUGCGUCCACCGGACAGGUUGGAAGGAAGCCCGUUGUUGUAGAAGUCGUUCACGAGCUCAGAGAACUGCGCGAACAUGAGCUUGCCGAUGGCAGCGAGGGCGAGGCGGGUGUUGUCCAUGGACACGCCGAUGGGCGUGCCCUGGAAGUUGCCACCGUGAAGCGCCUUGCCACGGGAGACAUCGAUCAGCGGGUUGUCGUUGACGGAGUUGAUCUCGCGCUCGAUCGACUUGGUGGCGAAGCGGAUGACCUCGAUCUGUGGGCCGAGCCACUGCGGCGACGUGCGGAGCGCGUACCUGUCCUGCUUCGGCUUCAUCAACGGGUCGAGCUCGCCGAGCUUCUUCGCCAGCUUCAUGUACGAGCUGCCUUCCAAGAUGUGCUCCAUGAUGGCGGCAGCCUCGAUCUGUCCAGGGUGGUGCUUCAGCUUGUGUGUCAGGUGGUCGGUGUACUCCGGCUUGCCGGUCAUGACCUCACAGAACACGGCGGACAGGACCUCGGCGAGGAUGGCAAGGACGUUGGCCUCAAAGAGCACGGUCGAUGCAAGGCCAGAGCCGACGGCAGUGCCGUUCACCAUGGCAAGACCUUCCUUAGGCUGCAACUCGAAGAAGCCGUGCUCAAUGCCGGCAAUCUUGAAUGCCUCGGCGGCGGUCACCUUGCGGCCAUCCGGGGCGACGGCCACGGAGUUCUGGCGGCCGGUGAUGAGGCCGGCAAUGUAGGACAGUGGGACCAAGUCACCGGAGGCGGUGAUGGUGCCCCGGAGCGGCAGGCACGGCGUGACGUUGGCAUUGAGCAGCUUGGUGAUGGCCUCGAGGAUCUCGAAGCGGAUGCCGGAGUAACCCUGGAGGAGGGUGUUGAUGCGGACGAGCAUCGCCGCGCGCGUCGCCUCCGCCGGCAGAACGUGGCCGUCGGUGCCGGUGCCGAAGGCGCCGGCAUUGAGGAAUCUGUUAAAACAGAGCGAUAGACAUGUCAAUUUCAGUUCAGAGCUCACUAAAAAAAAACAUAUAACACGUUCAGAAAAACUUGGUCAGAUAUAUGAUUGCGUAUUCUCUUUCCGUAUUUUCCUUCGGUGUACAUACACACUGCCGCCGUGCCGACUGAUGAUUAAUUUAGAGUUUCAUAAUUGCUUAAUUAAUUAUGCUCCCCAUGAUAAGGAGAGCAAACAAGUCAGAUGCGCGUAGUUGUGCAGCUGUGCAGAACUGUCGGUCACCGCCAUGUGGUAAAAGUCAAAUAAGUACCAAUAUUGUUCUACAUCACGUUUAAAUAACGAAAAACAAAGUGUUUUGGACCUUAUCUCGGAUACGAAUACUACAACUACUCGUCCACAACUCCACAUGUUCAGGGUAUUUUGACUAUUUCCCCUUCAAUUUUAUUUGCAUACUGUCCGUUUAAUAAUUGGACGCUCCCAAACCAGUCGAUGAUAAAACAGGAAAGGAAAACCAGAGCCGUGAAUUUGUCUGUCUCCCUGCGAGGACAGGGGAUGUGUCACCAAACCUCAGCUCGCUUUCGCCGUAACGUGGCCGUGGGAAAAUCCCCCGAAGGCAGGCCAGCCCACUGCCCACGUCGUCUCCAUGUGAAGUUUUCUGCGCUGCCGAACGCUUUGUCCGGCGCCCCGCGUGCAUGGCGUGAGUCGCGACGCGACGGCGCCAUCGCGCCAACCCGUCGGCCGAACCGAGCAAACGCACGCAGUUGGUGUUAUUACUACUCGCGUUGAUAUGAUAGCCCAGCAGCUGCCUACCCUUGGCCCCGGAUGGCCGGAUACCCUCCUCGAGAUCCCGAAUUCUCGCUCGGCGACAGAAUUAUCUCAUGGAUAAACAUAUUAUCAAAUGUCCCGAAAAAGAAAAGAGAGAAAAAGGUUGCUUCCUUUCUCCUUCUCCUCUCCUCAGACGAAAGACGCAAAAAGGAGUUCUAGCGACGCGCCAACGGACACAUAAUCGUCGUCUUGUGUUUUCACUUUCUUUUUAGUUAACACGAGUCGUGUUCGUGUGGUGCAAAUUAAAGGUGUAACAGUGCAGGACGGUUACUACUAGUAGCCGGUUCAGAUGUGGCAUGAACUGAGCAAGAGGUACAGUACAUCUGCGUGUUUGGAUGGUGGCGAGAAGUAAUAAAUAUGGUGAUGAUUUUACCCAAAUACUACAGCUGGAUGGAUCAUAAUAGUGUAAUAAUGGCGAAGGAUAUACUCCAGUACUAGUAUUGGCUGGCUGACACCCCGAAAGAAUCCUUUUUGGCUCCGAGAAUGACGGUAUCUCGUGGGCACACACACAACUAUGCAGCGAGAGCACAUGCAAGCGCAUCUAGUUCGCCCCACAAGUUCUGAGAGAUUAAAUAAACUAAUAUGGUGAUCCUCAAUCUCGUCGUAAUCAUAGAAUCGAACUGCUGAUGUAAAGACUGAUGAACAAUGGAAGUGAAACAAAAUAAAGGAUCGAGCUUGCGAUCGAUUUGUCACCUGAUGAGCUCCCUCUGGAGCGCGCCGCCCUCCUUGGUGCGGCGGUGGGAGGUGGCGCCGAAGCCGGUGGUGACGCCGUAGCUGUCGGUGCCGUUCAUCAUGCUGUUCAUGACCCAGUCGCUGCUGGCCUUGACGCGGCCGCGGGCGGACUCGUCGAGCUCCACCCUGGCGUCGCCGGCGCCGGCGGCCACGGCGGCCACCUGCGCGAUCGUCAGGCUGGCGCCCUCGAUCUUCACCAGCGGCUGGCGGAAGUCCUCCACCAUCCGCUUCACCUCGUCGAGGUGGCUCCCCGCCAGCUCGUCCGCCGCCUUCCCCCAGUUCAGUGGGUCGGCCCGCGGCGGCGCCGACACCGACGACAUGCACAGCCCGUCGCCGUUCAGGGAACGAACAAGCCCGGUUUCGCACUCCAUUACAGAUGUGUACAGUCACACAGACUCACAGAUGCAGUAGUAGCACACGAAUAGAAGUACAAGAACACUAGAACAGUACUACUAGAUAUGCGUGUUUUUUUUCUUUUAAGUAGAAGAAGAGCUCGAGUUGGAAGCUGAUGCUCUUCUUGGAGAAGAACGGUGGGGGAACGGGCGCUUAAAUAGCGUGGCGACGGGUGAUGGUGGUUGGGGCUAAGGGCGUCCAGGGCAGUGUGGGGUUUGGUUGUUGGCUAGCUGACCAUACGCUCGCCGUCGGAUGGGGCCUGCCUACCAAUCUUACCAUGCGGCGAUGCGCGACGCGUGGCCCACCUGGCCAGCUCGCGUGGCUGCUCUGCCUGCAGGAUUGUGAUUGGGGCGAGGCGCCGAGCCGGGGGAACCGGUUGGUUCGGCGGCGGCGCUUGCGUUGCGUGUUGCCUCGGUGGUGCGUAGCUGUGUGGGGUGGGUGGCUGGAGACUUGCGCGGCCGGGGGAUUUGGCGGGGGUUGGUGGGACGGAGAGAGCGAGCGAGAGCGCGUGUGUGGACGGGAGGCCUCUGCUGAGCCAACGCUGACGGUCUCUCGCGGUCAGUCGGUCCGUCGGUCCGUCGGUCGCUCGAUCCGGUAUCGUCCUGUUUUUACACAUGCACCCACUCCGAGAUCCGAGACGCUGCAGGAGUGCAGGACUGACCCAAGUGGUCAUCAGGACAACACGAUGAAAUGACGUGAUCGGUUCAUUAUUCGGAGCGCGAAUUGCUGCAGAGCGAAGGGUGUGUAUACGAGCUAUUUAUUAAGCCUAAUUAAUUUAUCAUUAGUAAAUGUUUACUGUAACAUCAUAUUGUUAAAUUAUGGCGUAAUUAGACUCAAUAGAUUCGUCUCGCAAUUUACAUAUAAACUGUAUAAUUGGUUUUUUUCCACAUUUAAUGUCUCAUGCAUAUAUUCAAAUAUUUGAUGUGACUUUUUGGCUAAUUUUUUUUUAUCUAAACAAGACCGUUCAGAAACUACAGUCACCUUUUGGCUGUGCGAGAUGUGGAGGAAUUGCCUCAACAGGGCCAUUUUGGCCAACAGCACUACAGCAGCAGCAGAAAAUGGGCUUAAAGCUUGUAGUACGUCCACACGGAGGCAUUUUGGCCAACAGCUUAUGCAGCUAUAAAAUUUAAAUUUAAAAUUUUAAUUGUAGAGUUGAUUUAGGGCUUUUCUUCGUAGUUUUUUUAGCAUUGAUUUUUAAUCGCUAAAUAUACAUAUAAAAAAUUAUCUAUGAAUUUUCUUUUAUGAUAAGUCAUUUUCAGCGUUAAGCCAAGCGAUGUGUUUGCAACUCUCUCUCUCUCUCUUUUGGUACAGACGCGUUGAGCUCAAGUUGCCGCAUUUGAUUCUGUACCAACAGAGAACUUCCAAGGAAAGCAAGUUGAAGCCUUCAGAGUUCAGACAAAAUGAAGCAAAUUGUUUAGUUUUUUUCCUCGUGUAUUAUGCAGUUAAGCAGGCGCUAUGUUGCGCGUAAAGAACCUGGUAUAAACAAUGAUUUACUCCCACAUUGUCCCGAAGAGUAGCACGAGCACAGUUGAACCAUGAAGAUUCCACGUUUCUUACUUUAAGAACCAGGAAAUAUUAAAGAGCCGGUUCAAUGGGAGGCAGGUACAGCAAUGCAUCGUCCAUGUGAUUAUUUUUUGUCCAUUUAAAAGGGCUGUCUUAAUAUUUUUAUCCACACUUUUUGCGUGUGGUUGGUAACAACGAACUCAUGGUGACCAACUCAGCUUGAUGGCCAGGUCGAUCUACUCCGUUGUGGUUGGCAACUAAGCUCGCACCAAACAGGGUGUUGGGUAUCCGGGCCCUCCCGUAAGUUCAUUCAGACAACGUCAUUCGUAUAUCUCCUCCACCAACCUCCUACUACUUGCGUUCUUCAUAUAGGAGCUGCGAAAAUGUUGCUGCUUCAACGUUCUUCAGAUAAGCAACCUUUUUUUUUUUUAAGAUAAUGAGAUAAGCAACCAUGAGUGACUUCAUUGACUUCAAGAUGGAUGGUUGGCUUGGUGUUUCAAAGGUCCGAGGUUUGUUGAAAAUUUAGGGUGAGUUCGAUAAAGGGAGUACGUACUAAAUCCAUUAAAAAACUUAUUUUAUUUGGAACUAAUACCUUACAUUGAUCAAUUUGGCAUGGUCAAAAUGAUAUAGUUUUCAAUAACAAGAAAUUGUCUAACCACAUGCAGGUUAUCUUCACGUCUUCCAGUUGACUCUAUUAUUAAUCCUUGAUGCUUUCAUAGGAGAAGUGGGAGACUGUACGUAAUGAAACUACACUCUUAGAAUCGGUAGCCACGAGUCUUUUGUCCUACUUUGGUUGGUGUAAUUUUUUUUAGAAUAUUGUUAUAGGUUCUAUGUGUUUUCUAACUGAUAUUUUGUUUUUAGAAAGAAGAUGAGGUUUGUGUCCCAUAACCUUAAGCUUUUUUAUCUUUUUUUUUUUCUUGACUCAUUAGCCGUGCGCAUAUUGGCAGAAACCGGAGAUGUAAAUCAUUUUCAUUAUGUAAAAAAAAUACUUAGUUGUACGUAAAAUGAGAUGAGUAAUUAGUGUAUACUACCUCCAUACCAAAAUAAGUUUAUUUUUCACCCAUCUAACACAUACCAAUAAAAAGUAAAAAAAAAUUAGAAUACCCAUACUUUAUCAAAUCCCAAUACAACUAAUCCUCACUGUAUCUAAUCCCAAUACAAUUACUCCCUCCGGUUUCAUUUUAAUUGACGUUUUGGACAAUGAUACGGUCUACGAGAUAUAUCUUUGACCUUAUUUUUUUUAUUAUAAUAUAUAUAAUAAAUAAAUGCAUGUUUACUUUUAUUAUAGUGCUUUAAAAGAAAAAUCUAUAUAUGUUGUUCUAAUUCCUUUAAACUAAAUAUUUAUAAAGUUAUUGAUGGUCAAAGUUAUAAAAGUUUGACCUCAACCUUGUUCAAAAUGUCAAUUAAUAUGGAACCGGAGGAAGUAUUCCAUACUUUCACAAACUCCAAUGCAAUGAUUACUCUAAAAAUAAACUUAGUUUGGGACAAAUGGAAGGUGCUAAAAAUGAACUUAAUAUGGGACGGAAGAAGUAACUAAUUAGGUAUUAAAUACUACUAAUUUGAAAAUUGAUUUUUUUUAAAAAAAAUUCUCCAUGGAAAGUUUUUAUACCAAACACAUCGGUUACCCGUUCGGAAAACAUGUUCACAUAAAACGAGAUAGUAGCUCUGCUUAGAAGCCCUCUCGAACGCAUCCUUAGACCAGGAGUAUGCUUCUAUAAGGCCAUAGGAACGAUCUACUAUAUUUGAUCGAGGGGAUUGUUUGUUUCUGGUUCCAUCAGCAGAUUACAUAAAUACACACACUCAAUACACCAAAAUAAUAAAAACAAGAAAGAGUAAAAUACACAACCAAUUCUUAAACUUGAACCAUAGUGUUAUCCAGUACCGUGAGCUUGUAAAAUGCACAUCUAAGUCCAUAUACUCUUAUUUUAAUGUAUCACCCAAGAUCUAAAGUGCAAAUUACCAGGACGCUAACAUGGCCGUCCACGAUAAUGAGAAUUUUGCAUUUUAGAGGAAUCAAGAAGUACCAGAGGUCAGAAAGAAAUUAUCCUAGUACCAUUUUUUAGAAGUUGUGUUUUUAAAUACACUACCGGAGCAUUUGAAACAGGAAAAAAUGUUUACUAGUCCAAACACAAAAAGAAUCGUAAAUUAUACUUCAAAACUUACAAAACAAUUACUUUAGCCGCUUGCCAGGUUAUUCCCUACCAGGUUGUGGUAUUGCAGGUGUACAUUGAAGAAUCCUUAACACAACAAAUGUAUAAAAAAAGUUUGAUCAGCUACUUGUACUGGUAUAAUCCACACUACUCGAAACAAACCACCACCUCUGUACUCAUCUCAUCAUCUCCUGUGAGGUUCUGAUACAGGGGUUUAGCAGAUGGGCAGGGGCGCGCCGUUCCACUCCUUGAGACACUCAAGCAGCGGAUCAAUGUGCUUGCCUUGGUUGAUGGCGACGAGCACCUUGUUCAGCUCCUCGCCGGGCGACCGCGUCUUCUCGCCGGUGAGGUACGCGGUUCCGAGCUCCUCGCGCACAAACCGGUACAGUGGGUAGGAGCGGCACUCGGUGAUUCUGUUGGGCGUUGCCGCCGUGCCGUUCUCCACAGCUGCCCGUGCGGCCAACACCGCCGCUGGCAGCGCCGCGCGGAGCUCCUCCUCGAACUGGGCGACCUUGGCGAACACCGAGGUCUCGGCGUUGAACUCGGCCGCGCCGUUGGCGAGGGCGCGCUCCACAAGCACGUUCCGGAGCUUCUUCAUCAGCGGGUAGUUGGCGCUGCACGGGUCGUCGGCGUACGCGAACACGGCUUCGCGGUCGAUCUCCUGGAGAAGAUCCUUCUCGCAGAAGCGAGCGGCGUGGAGACCGCCGGUGGCGCUCGUGCUCAGAGUCUUCCUGGCCACUGUCAUGACGCAGCUCUUGACGGCGCUCUUGACGUUCUCCUCGAUUUGCCGCAGGUCGAUGGCCUGGCACAGGGCGACCAAGAACGUGGAGGACAUGAGCUUCAGGAUUUCGACGGCCUCGGCUGUCUUCCUGGAGGAGAUGAGGCCGAGGGAGUUGACGUCCUGGUUGUGCUGCUCCGCGCUCUGGACGUGGUUGGUCACUGGGUUGCCCAAGAACUGCAACUCGGAGCAGUACGAAGCCAUGGCGAUCUCGGCGCCCUUGAAGCCGUAAUCCAAGCUCGGGUUGCGCCCGCCGGACAGGUUGGAGGGAAGGCCGUUGUUGUAGUAGUCGUUCACAAGCUCUGAGAACUGCGCGAACAUGAGCUUGCCGAUGGCAGCAAUUGCGAGGCGAGUGUUGUCCAUGGACACACCGAUGGGAGUGCCCUGGAAGUUACCACCAUGAAGCGCCUUGUCGCGGGAGACAUCAAUGAGUGGGUUGUCAUUGACAGAGUUGAUCUCGCGCUCAAUGGACUUGGUGGCCGCACGAAUAACUUCGAUCUGAGGGCCAAGCCAUUGCGGCGACGUGCGGAGCGCGUACCGGUCUUGCUUCGGCUUCAUCAACGGGUCGAGCUCACCGAGCUUCUUCGCCAGCUUCAUGUACGAGCUGCCUUCCAAGAUGUGCUCCAUGAUGGCAGCAGCCUCGAUCUGUCCAGGGUGGUGCUUCAGCUUGUGUGUCAGGUGGUCGGUGUACUCCGGCUUGCCGUUCAUCACCUCGCAGAACACGGCGGACAGGACCUCGGCAAGGACAGCAAGAAUGUUCGCCUCAAAGAGCACCGUGGAGGCAAGUCCAGAGCCGACGGCAGUGCCAUUCACCAUGGCGAGACCUUCCUUGGGCUGCAACUCGAAGAAGCCACCUUGGAUGCCAGCAAUCUUAAACGCCUCAGCGGCGUUCACCUUGCUGCCAUCAGGAGCGACCGCGACAGAGUUCUCGCGGCCGGUGACCAAGCCGGCAAUGUAGGAGAGCGGGACCAGGUCGCCGGACGCGGUAACCGUGCCCCUGAGUGGCAGGCAUGGCGUGACGUUGGCAUUGAGCAGCUUGGUAAUCGCCUCGAGGAUCUCGAAGCGGAUGCCUGAGUAGCCCUGGAGGAGAGUGUUGAUGCGGACGAGCAUCGCCGCGCGCGUGGCCUCGGCGGACAGGACGUGGCCGUCCGUGCCCGUGCCGAAGGCGCCGGCAUUGAGGAACCUGAUGAGCUCUCUUUGCAGGGCACCACCUUCCUUGGUCCUCCUGUGGGACGUGGCGCCGAAGCCGGUGGUGACACCGUAGCUGUCCGUGCCGUUCAUCAUGCUGUUCAUCACCCAGUCGCUGCUGGCCUUGACGCGCUCGCGGGCCGACUCGUCGAGCUCGACCCUGGCCUCGCCGGCCGCGGCCACCGCGGCGACCUGCGCGAUCCUCAGGCUGGCGCCCUCGAUCUUUACCAGCGGCUGGCGGUACUCGGCCACCAUGCGCUUCACCUCGUCGAGGUGGCUCCCCGACAUCUCCUCCGCCGCCUUCCCCCAGUUCAGCGGGUCGGCGCGGGGCGCCGCCAUGCAGAGGCCGUUGAUGCCAUCGGCAGCAACCUGACCGUUCUCGCACGCCAUUGCAGUUAGCUAGACGGCCGGAGAGAACUGAUGAUUGUGCUAAAUGAGCAGGAGGAUACUAGAGAGAUUGAUCAGAGGAGUAUGCAGGCAGCGGUGUGUUCAGAGCUGUGGAGAAGAGCUAACUGGGAUGUGUGGCUCUUCCUGGAGAGAAAUGGAGGGAGUGGAAGGGUUUAUAUUAGGCUUGGAGAUAUGAUACGAGUGGCUUGGUCAGAUUGGUUCCUGGUCCAAGGCGACGAAACGGCUGGGUCUCCUCAUCAGUCCGACGAAGCUGAGUGUGGUGUUAGUUGGGGGUAAGAACGAACAAACAACAUGUGUGAAUCGUUCGAUGGAAUGAGUAUAUUUUUGAGGAGGGUCAGGUGUGGACGUCGAAAUUUCGUGGUCGUCUUUGGGGACGCGGGCUCGGUCGCAGACUCGCACGGGGUCCGUGGUUGCCUGGUUGGUGCGCGCCAUGCGGUUGGUGAAAGCCUGAAAGGCAGAAGGCGCAAUGCGCGCGCAUGCUUUGCCUCGGCUCGGCUGACCGUGCUUGCACAGUUGCUCGCUUUUCACUUCGUUGUUCCCAGUUCCCACGUGAGGCCAUUCACAGUACAAGCACCUCAUUUGCGUUACCUCAGUAUGCCACGUAGGAUAGAUACACAACGAAUUCAUACCUCUCACAGUGCAGGGUACAACAGGGGAUCCCCAAACCAACCACCCCAACCUAUUCUCUCUCCCACUUUCCCCUUUCUCUCCUUUUCCCUUUCCCUCUCCUACUUUCACUCCCACCGACCCGACAGAGCCGGAGCGCGCGGCGGUACUGGUCGCCGUUGCCCACCGUGUAACAUCCCGGCCUAGGGCUUAAUAGGAUUAAUAGAAUACUCAUAUCAACAAGUUGCAACUUCUUUUCCGGAAGCCAAUCUCCAAAUAACUCCAGAGUUAAGCGUGCUUGGCCUGGAGCAAUUUGGGAUGGGUGACCGAUCGGGAAAUUCUUUCCGGGUGCACACGAGUGAGGACAAAGUGUGCAGAAAAGAUAUGUGUUGGUCUGUGAGGGCAGUCUAUGACCUAUGAAAGCUAUCAGAUGUAAGCGGGCCCGGCCUGGGGGAAGGCGGGACGUUACAAAUUGGUAUCAGAGCCGACUCUCGCGGUUUCACGGGCGCGUGUGUCGCAGUUGCGCAGGCAUGGUGCGCAUGGCUGGUGUAGACCGGGAGUGGUUACACAGCAUGGCACAUGUGCUGGCACUGGACACAUGGACGUGGCCAAGAGAGGACGUUCCUGGCCUAGGGUUGAUCGACGGGGGCGUCGAUCUCUCUUAAGGGGGUGAGGGUGUAACAUCCUGGCCUAGGGCUUAAUAGGAUUAAUAGAAUACUCAUAUCAACAAGUUGCAACUUCUUUUUCGGAAGCCAAUCUCCAAAGAACUCCAGAGUUAAGCGUGCCUAGGGCUUAAUAGGAUUAAUAGAAUACUCAUAUCAACAAGUUGCAACUUCUUUUUCGGAAGCCAAUCUCCAAAGAACUCCAGAGUUAAGCGUGCUUGGCCUGGAGCAAUUUGGGAUGGGUGACCGAUCGGGAAAUUCUUCCCGGGUGCACACGAGUGAGGACAAAGUAUGCAGAAAAGAUAUGUGUUGGUCUAUGAGGGCAGUCUAUGACCUAUGAAAGCUAUCAGAUGUAAGCGGACCCGGCCUGGGGGAAGGCGGGACGUUACACACCGUCCCCGCGAAUCUCUCGGCGGCGACGAGAAGGCGGAGCGAGGAGGACGGCGGCGGCGCGAAUCUGGAGCGGCGGCAGCGCGAGAGGACAACGGCGGCGGGCGGAUUCUGGAGUGGAGCGGCUCGUGCUCGUCGUCGCCGUCCUCGGAGCGGUCAUGGCGGGCGGCGGCGGCGGCACAUCCUUGCCCCGCUCUCCUCACCGACGGUGCUCUCCUCACCGCCUGCCCCAACGCCGCGGUGGCGGCAUCCUCGGGACCUAGCGGUGCGGAUCUGGAGCGUCCUCGCCGUCCUCCUCAACGACGGCGGCGGCGGCGCGUCCUCGCCCGCCCUCACCGGCGACGGUGGCGCGGAUUGGAGCUGGAGCCGGAGUCGUCGGAGUGGAAGGAGUUUCUGCUCGGGAAUCAAGGUCGGCCUCCUGCACAGCGCGUUCUCGUCCUCGCAUCUCUCAUCGGUGGGCCCCGCGCUCGACUUUUUGAGCGAGGCUCUCGUUCCUUCGCUAGGAACCGAAGAAGCUAGUGAAGCUAUGGGCCCCACCAACUUUUUUCACCACGUAGGACGAAGUAAGGCUCCAGCUAGACGAAGGAACGCCCACUGUGAAGGGCCUGAUGCUGAGAUGGAAUGAGCCUGUGAAGGGCCUGAUGCUGAGAUGGAAUGAGCCGCUGAAAGGGUAGUGCUUCACUCACUGCUUGUGUUAUCUUUCAGCACAUUAAUUAAAGAGCACUGCGAACACAGUUUAAUUCUAGUUGAUUUGUACCGGUCUUUGUUUGGAAUGAAUUUUCCCACUAUCUUCAUCAGGCAGUUUUGUUUCUGUUAUGGUAUCCUACGUUUCUUCUGGCCGUUUUCAGUGUGGCUGGAUUUUUUAUAUAAAAAAUAAAUUUAGAUAACCUUAUAUUUUGGAGUUUUUUUUAGGGUCCAAUAGUACCGAGCGGUACCAGGGCGGUACCAAAUGCUAGUCAUUGGAUCUGUCACGAUCCAAUGGCUGGUGUUGCGUGGUACCGUGAGGUACCAAAAAUGUCCCUCAGGCGGUACCGCAUGGAGAAGAUGAUUGGUAGGGUAAAAGAGUAACUUUGUAUGCCAGAUGGUUCAGGACGGAUGGAUCGGGAAGUAUUCCUCUGCCGCCACCGGCGUUUUCGUCUGCCGACGCGGCCGUGUUAUUCCUCCGGCGCCGCGACUUCGUUUUGGGCCCUCUCGCCGAAGCAAUAUCGAUUGCGGCGCGCAUGGUUCUCCCCUCUCUUCUCCAGCGCUGCGAAGACGCCGCGCCGCCUGUCUGCAACGAUGGACAACGCGAAGGACACGGGGUUAGGGUUUCGCGGUGAAGGCGGAGGAGUCGUCGCAGUCUGGCUCACGCGUAGAUUGGAGGCGCACGCACGGCUGCGGAAGAAUACCGAGCUCGCGAUUUUUUCUCUCCCGAUCCUACCCAUGCGAAAUUCAACGGUGAUAUGCGUACUGGCGGUACCAGUACCGUGCGGUACAUGUUGCUGGACCACAAAGACGCUCUAUAUUUUGAGAUCAAAUUGGGUUCAAACCAUUGAUAUUAUGGUUUGCGCUACACAACAAUAUUUUGUAUGCUCUAGAAGUUUCACAAAACCCGCCUUAUUCAAAUAUUAACUUGGUUUUCCAUCUUUGGCAUAGUAUUGUUUAAAAUAUCAAAACAAUUAACUUAUCAUCUUCACCAAGCAAUCAACAUAUCAACAAUAUAUAAAAUUUGUAUGGAAUAAAAAUAAAGCAAACGUAUCUGCACAUUUUACCCUAUAUUAUUUAGAUUUUAAAUUAAUAUGAUGUUUUGAUCAAUAUUAAGACCAUAACCUAGCAUUUUGUCAUAGGCUAUAAGGUUGGGUGAUUUUUUAAAUAACAAAAAUGAUAAAACUACAAUUAUUUUGAAGAAACUACAGUUAGUAUUCCCUCCGUUUCACAAUGUAAGACUUUCUAGCAUUGCCUACAUUCAUAUAGGUGCUAAUGAAUUUAAACAUUAUCUAUUAUAUAAUUAAAGGAAUAGAAAAAGGAGCCUCCACGUUCGCUCUCAUGGCCUAUAAAUUCUCACAUUAAUAAGGAAAAAAAGAAAAAACAGAGUCCAUAUAGAAAUACAAUUAGGAAUAACUGAAAUUCGGAAUUAAAAAUAAGCAAUAUUAGAAUAGAGUAAAGAGUCCAUAUAGAAAUACAAUUAGGAAAUAACUGAAAUUCGGAAUUAAAAAUAAGGAAUAUUAGAAAUAGAGUAUAGAGUCCAUAUAGAAAUAUAAUAAGGAAAUAACUGAAAUUCGGAAUUAAAAAAUAAAGAAUAAUAGAAGAGGAUACUAGAGUCCAUACAGAAAUACAAUUAGGAAAUAACUGAAAUUCGGAAUUAAAAAUAAGCAAUAUUAAAAGUAGAGUAAAGAGUCCAUAUAGAAAUACAAUUAGGAAAUAACUGAAAUUCAGAAUUAAAAAUAAGGAAUAUUAGAAAUAGAGUACAGAGUCCAUAUAGAAAUGCAAUUAGGAAAUAACUGAAAUUCGGAAUUAAAAAUAAGGAAUAUAAGAAGUAGAGUAUAGAGUUGUAACGCUCCGCUUUUCGUGAGACGUUAAAAACUAAUUCGGCAAAAUCCUAAUUGCGAAAAUUUCGUUCUUUGAGUGUUGAGUCUAAGCUGUGCCAAAGAUCUCAAUCUAAAUCCCUCCCUUGUCUCGAUACCCUGUUAUCAAAGAUCGUCUCCUCAAAAUUUCCAUCCCAAUAUAGUCCCGAAGCUCGAUUUCUUCUAUUCGGAAUCCCCUCCUGGAACCCCAUCCGUGAACUUUGUCGAAUGCCCGAAACCUAACUCCGUCCAAGGAUUCACCUUCGCGUCAUAAGCUCUCUCCUUGGUUCCUUCAAACCGAUUCUCAAAUUCGAUUUCAACCUCUCAGGUUUUGAUUCAUCUAUCUUCUCCAUGUAUUGGUUCAUCAAUCUACCCUUGUCUUCUUUCUCGAACUUCUGACCCAAGUCUGAAUAUGCAAAUCGAGAUCACUUCCACCCUUGAACUCAAAAUCCCAAGAUUCAAUCCCUUUCGCCCUGAGUUCUCCCCAAAAUGAUUUUCGUUCCGAAAUAGUCUCGAAGUCCGAACCCUUCUAUUUGGGCUUCUCUCCAAAAUCCAUACCCACAUAUCUCGUUGAGUAGUCAAACUCAAACUCCCAAGUUACACUCUCUUUCUCUAAAUUAUCCAUCCCCUGUUGACUCGUCUCCGAAUAUUGUUCCCUUCCUCGACUCCUUCCUAUUCUCCCGAGACCGAGUAUCAACCUCGAAAUUCGAAUCCAGACUCUAACCCUAAAACCUCCCAAUUAAAUCUCUCUGUGAAAGUCUAUUGAACCUCCCUCAUAGGUUGGAUUCCUUCAUCCUUUUUCCGGUCCACCUCUUCCUUCUCUUCCAUCCCAUCUCUCUCUGAGUCUCGAUCUAUCUAUCUAUCGAUCGAUCCAUCUAUCUAUCUACUAUACCUAUCUAUCUGUUUAUCUAUCCAUCUGUCAAUCCAUCUGUCUACCCGUCCCUCUACCUAUCAACCUACCUUUCUGUCUAUCUAUCUAACCAUGGCAUUCUACCGCUAUCUCCCUUGUUCCAUUUUUGAAUAAUGAUCUUUCCUUUUUGAAAUCCUCUGAAAUAAUCCUUCGUGCCGCCAAAUAUAAAUCCAUCCCAAAAAUACCAAAAUUCCUGCUUUUGAAGCCCUUCCUUGACCCCCUCCCUUGGAUCCACCUUGAACCCUCGCGUACAAAUAUACAAAUUGAAUUCAAAUUCAAUCUCCACAUCAAACUUCUCUCCAAAUCAAACCUUCCGGUAAAAGUCUAUUUUACCUCCCUCGUGAUGAUUUGGGCCGAAACCUGCCGCUGGCCCAUCUCUUCUCAGCUCCCUCCAUCUCCACGUGCGCCGCACGUGACCACCGAGAGAGAGAGAGAGAGAGAGAGAGAGAGCUCUCUCUCUCUCCCUUCCCUCUCUCGGACGUUCUCUCGCUCCCUCGUCCUCUUCCUCUCUCUCGCUGCCUCUCUCUCUCGUUCGAUCUCUCUCUCCCACGCAAGCGCUGCCGCCAUCGCCGAUUUCCCGCUGCCGCCUUUCGAUUUUCGGCUGUGCCGCUCGUCCCCGCGCGCGCGCGCACACUCGUGACCGACCACCCGGUCGCCGCCGACGCCAUGCGCUGCCGCCUUGCCCCCGCUCCAUGCCAAACCGACCGCCGCCGUCAUAGUCGACGUCAUCCAUGGCCCCCGCCACGCCGCACCCGUCCAAGAGUGGGAGAAGCAGCUGCUCUCCCUCUCCUCCUCCUCCUCACUCUCCCUCUCCUCUUUAUGGCAAGGGACCAAGCCCCUUUCCCCCCUUCUUUUUCCUUUUCCCCGACCACCGCCGGUGUCACCACCUCUGAGCCGCUUGACCGCUCGCGCCACCUGCCUCAUCUCCUUGACCGCCCCAAGGUCGGUUCUCUCAAACCGACAUCGCCACCUACAAGACCCACACCCCCUCCCAUACCUCCCGCUUCCUCUCCUCCAUCACACCACUGCCGCCUCGCCGUUCGUCGUCGUUCUCGCCCUCCUCUGCCGUCGUGUGUGUCGGAGAGCUAGCGAGCACGAGGAGUCGACAAGGAGCUCCGCGCCGCCCCAUCCUCGCACCUCUCCAUCUCUUCUUCCCCGACCGCGCCUUCUCGGUGCCGCGCCGCCCCGCCGACGCGUCCGCCUCGCUGCGACUCCAUCCGCGCCGCCGACACCGUUUCUCUCGUCGGUGAGCUCCCCACUGAACCCCUUUUCCCUUGUCGCACGCCGCGCCGCGCCCGCCGCCGUUCGUCACAUCUCGCCGCGCGCCCUUGCUCUAUCCUGGGCGUCGCUCGCCGUCGAUCGCCGUCGCCGGCCUCUCUCGGCGUCGCCCGUGCCCUCUCGGCCGGUGGAAUGAGCUCGCGACCUCGCGUAGAUGCUCCAGCUCCAACGAAUCGAACCCCCGUUGCCCCGGUGAAGUUUUCCCCCUUUGCUCGCCGCCGACGAUCGCCGUCGAAAUCCGCCGCCGUCGGCUCCCCUCUUGUCAAUCCCUCUCGCCACCACGCUCUCGGGGAUCCCCUUGAUCUCCCCCUUGCUGUCCCAAGGCCGUCGGCCUUCUCCUUUCUCUCCGCGCCAUGUCGCCGCUUCCGCCGCCGCCUAACGCCGCCGUGCGUGCGCCGCCGGUGACCAUCGGGUCCCGCGUCACCACGUGCGCGUCGCAACACCAUACCGGUUCGGCUAAGCCCGAGCCCGCGCACCCUUCGCUCUUCUCGCGCGCGGCCACGUCGGCGUGCCGUCGUACCUCCCCUCUCAAAUCCGUGCCGUUAAACGGAUCCCCCCUGACCUCCUCUAGCCGCCGGUGCUGGCCGCUCGCUCCGGUUCGCCACCGCUCGCCGGAACGCCUCGCGUGUCGUUGGCCGUCCGAUCCCGGGCGCCUCCUCCUCCUCCUCCUCCCCUUUCGCCCCUGCCCGCGUGGCCGGCCACGUGGCAGCCACCUCAGCCCCGGGCCCGCUUGACUGGGUCAAGUCGCGCCCAGUCAGCCUCCUCCCUCCGUCCUCCCUCCCGUGCGCGCGGUCCACGGCAAACCGUGCGGCUGCACGUGGGCCCACCGCCAUCCGUCCACCCGGCGCGCAGCGCCCGAACCGCGCGCAUCCAAAACCCUAGCGCCCGCCCCCGCGUGCGCCCCCCCACCGUGAACCCAACCACCGCCAUGUGGGUCCCGCGCGGUGGACCGCGUCCACCCGCGUCGGCCUCUCUCUCCCCGCGCCCCUAAUGGGCCGACCACCCGCGCCCGCGCCGGCCCAAUGGCCUGACCGCGCUGCGCAUGACCCUUGGGCCGAGCCUAAGCCGCCCGAGUAAGUCUAAAUCACAUCCCUCCUUCAAUUUCUUUCCAAAAAGGGUUUAAUAAAUUAUUAAAUCCUUUUUCCUUUGAUUAGUAAAUCCAAUAAACUUCGAAAAUCCAUAUAUUCCAAACCGCUCAUCCGAUUGACUCCGUUCCACUUCCAGUAAUUCUGUAAAAUUGAGAUCUAUUUAAUGGCACUACUAAUUAGUUUAAAUAGGAUCUUUCUUUUGGUCCUUUGUUUAGGUUUUCGAUUGUUUGCGUAUAGUUGCGGUUAUCGGAUUUUCGUCGAUCGCGGGUUUCCUCGAAGAUUCGUGAAGCUUCGUGAAGACCUUGAGCAAGGCAAGUCACCCUUUGAUCAAUUGCCCCUAUAAUUGAAAAGUCAUUAUUAUUUUGUUUGCAACUUGCAUUAGUAGAAUCACACACUUAACUUGCUUGGCCUCGGUUUGCGUGCCAAACCGACGGACCUACCCAGUAGUCGCUCUAAUUUCCGUAGGUCGUAAUACCCUGUUUCCUUGUCGCUCCACCCUUGUGGUACCUCGGUAUUCGUGCUCUUUGAGCGCGUAUACCAAAUAUCCCACAUACACCGUUGUUUGUCGAAAACUUGGGAAAUGGGUUUGUGAAGCCUUCAAAACCCGACAUGUGGUGUCGGUGUGUUUGAAAAUAAAAUGAUUUGUGAAAACUCGCGAUGCGGGGGUUGUGCCUAUGUGGCACUGUCCCGUAUUCGCAUAUAAGGACCGAUUCCUGUGGGAAACUCAUCGAACAUAAUCAAAGUGCAACCACAAGGUGGAAUGGGACACCCUGGCUAAGUAACUAGUCGGUUCAGGGAAACCUCGCAUGCCAAUAGUUGGGAACGCCGGGGCGGGGUCGGACAAACCGGGUUCCUGGUAAGGCAAGGACGAGAAGCUUGCUCACUUACCGAUCAAGGUGGUUGGAGUUUGAUUUGUGAACGCCUAAAAUGGCCUAUGUUUAUGUGAGGAUUUGAUCCUUCUAUGUGGCAUGAGGUAACCCUGGGUCGGCUUGGGAAAGGCUUUGUUGCGAACCUCCGAUACCGACGGGUGAUCGGAAUAAGUUCGUAUCUUGUGGGUAAAGUGUACCCCUCUGCAGAGGUUAACUAACUGUUCGAACAGCCGUGCCCACGGUCAUGGGCGGAUGUGAGGUGGUUCCCAUUGCGUAGAUUUGUUUGCCUGUGCUUUGUGAAAAGUUGUUUAGGUGUGGGAAUCGUAACCAGAAUCAGCCUAUGUGGCAGAUGGAUGACCUGAGUGGUCAAGAAACGAAUCUGUGUGAUUCGGGAUGUCUGCGGACAUCAUAGACUAGGCUUCCCGAGUGGAAGCGGAUUGUUGUGCUGCUAGGCAGCUGGACUCUGGGAGUCCGAGAAAAUGAAAAAAACUCUGGGAGCCGAUUAAUCAAGUGGAAUGACUCUGGGAGCCGAGAAGUAAUGAUCUGACCCGGGAGGUCGGUACAUUACUAAAUGAGCUGUUGAAAAAAACAUCUCUUAAAGUCGAAUCGAGAUGCAAGUCUCUUUUCGGCCCAAACUUAGAAAGAAAUAAAUCACUUAGUGAUUUUAAAAUGUCUUCAAAUAAAAGAUUUGCAAAACAACCUUGCCUCUCUUCCAAGCUUGCAUUAAACACCUAAGUUCCCGUGACUUGCUGAGUACGAAAGUACUCACCCUUGCUCUAUAUAAAUAUAUACAUAUAGUUCCUCCGCCCUGAAGAGAUGAUGAAGUGAAGUGAAGAUUAGGGUUUCGUCCUGGUUCCUAGCCGUCGCCUGUGGUGUUGGGUGUUAGACCGUUGGUUCCGCUGCUGCUGCUGCUGCUGCUGCUGGUGUUUCCUCGUCCGCGUCGUCGGUUGUAUUCUCGGGCUGUCUGAGCUGCAACCUAAGUUGAGGUAAAUAAGUCCUCUAUUUAUUUUAAGGGUUGCUAUGAUUCAUAUUUGUCACCGUGGGUACCAGCACUAUGUCCUGGGACUGGUACCGAGAUCGCGGUUUCGUAGGAAGCGGUUCGCGCCGUUUUCCCUACGACACGCUCCUGUCAGGUGCCGUUGUACGGCGGUAUCAGAUUGGGGUGUGACAAGAGUCCAUAUAGGAAUUUAAAACUUACUAAAAUUUAGAUAAACAUAAUAAAAUUAAAAGUAGAGUUUAGAGUCUGUAUAAAAAUACAAUUUACAAAUAACUAAAAUUUGAAAUUAAGAAAAACAUGGGAAGAAGAGUUUAAGGUCAAUAUAGAAUAUAAAUAUAGUAAUACAAUUUAGAAGUAAAUGAAAUUCGAAAUUAAAAAUUAAAGAAUAUUGAAAGAUGAGUUUAGAGUCCACAUAGAAAUAAAAUUAGAAAUAAUAAAAAUUCAGAAAUAAAAAUAAAUAAUAUUGGAAGAAGAGCAUAGAGUCUAUAUAGAAAUAGAAUUUACAGAAAAUUCGGAAUUAAAAAAUAGAAAUAUUAAAAGACGAGUCUAGAGUCCAUAUAGGAAUAUAUAUAAUUUACAAAUAACUAAAAUUUGAUAUUAAAAAUAAUUAAUAACUAGCACGCAUAUAAAAUAUAAUAUGAAUAUUACACAUUGUAGUUUUGUAAAGUUAUUGUAAAAUUUAAAAUUAUGUUGUCAUUUUAAUAUAUUUGAAUAAUAUAAUGAGAAAACAUAAAUGCUAUUAUAUGAGAUAAAAUAUAAAGAUGCUAGCCGCGCAAUCUGCGUGGGCCACCAUGCUAAUUAUAUAUUUAUAUAGAUUUAUUAGCAUCUAUAUGAAUGUGGGCAAUGCUAGAAAGUCUUACAUCGUGAAACGUAGGAAGUACAUUUUAGUACGCCACAUUGACUGCAAUAUAGACUCAUCAGCAUAAAGUCAUAUUGGCAUGUCAGACAGAUCACAACCGUCAAAGCGUGUUUUUAUCCCUAGAUGGGAUAUCCUAUCAUUUUUUGCAUGUCACCUAAAUAGUCAUAAAAAAAUAAAAAAAAAUUGAUACAAAAUAUAUCACUCCACAUACAUAUAAAUUGAAAAUCAACUUCUACAAAUUAUAACAAAAAUAAGUGUGAAUAUACGUUAACAUGUCAGUUUAAUUUUUUUUAACUUGUAAAAGUUGAAUUUAACCGUGCAUAUUUAUGGAGUAAUAUUUCAUAUUAAACUAUAUUGUUAUUUUCUUUCAAAUUUCUUGAUGACCAUUUAAGUGACAUAAAAAAAAUGAGUGGAUGUUCCCUUGUGGGAUGAAAAUCCCCACUAAAGGUAUAUAAAAGAAACAAGUCGAAUGGGGAUGGAUUCUAAACUAUCGAGGGGACAUCUCAUUGUUAUUUGUAUGUCAUCCAAAUGGUUGUGAAAACAAAUUAAUAAGUUCAAUAUGAAAGAUUAAUAUGUGAUAGAUCACUGUGCAAACAUAAAAGUUAAAAUUCAACGUCUACAAGUUAAAAAAAACUAUGACUAAUUAACAUAUAUCCAUAGUUAAAUUUGUUUUUUUUUCGUUGUAACAUGUAGAAGUUAAAUUUGACAUUGCAUGCCUGUGCAGUGAUUUAUCACGUAUUAAUAUAUCAUGUUAAUUUUUCUCAUAACUAUUUAAAUGACAUGUAAAGGGGUGUCGUUUGAGAGUUUAGAAUAGUUUUACAAGUCAAAUCUCUGAACUGUUAUUAUUUAGUCACUACAAUUAUUUUCUUUUCAAUAAAAGAAAAUUUCUUUUUGAAGCCAUAUUUAUGCACAUUUUACCCAAUCAGUAUGGAUUACAUUGUGCGCAGAUAGGUCAAACUCGGAGUAAACAAACAACUAAAAGGAAAAUAAGAACUCUGCCAUGAAAAUUAAUGAUUUGCAACACUCUGAUAUCCAAAACUUAUAUGUUACAACACUAGUUGCUUUUGAAACCUGCCACUCGUACCAAGUUUUGCUGUUGCAUGCUUGCCGCUAUGCAACGAAGAAUUCUUUUGAGUAACACAAAGAUAAGUGUAAAAAUAAAAUAUUCACCAGAUAAAAACAACACCGCACGCCUCCACACUCCACUGUUAUUCAGCUAAUCGGUUCACUAGUUCAGCAGAUUGGCAGGGGCUCGCCGUUCCACUCCUUGAGGCACUCGAGCAACGGGUCGAUGUGCUUGCCUUCGUUGAUAGCCACAAGAACCUUGUUCAGCUCCUCGCCAGGCGAUCGUGUCUUCUCGCCGGUCAGGUACUUUGUUCCGAGCUCCUCGCGCACGAACCGGUAGAGCGGAUACGACCUGCACUCGGUGAUUCUGCUGGGAAUCGCCGCCGUGCCGUUCUCCACAGCCGCACGUGCGGCCUCGAUCGCACCUGGCAGAGUCGCGCGCAGCUCCUCCUCGAACUGCGCGACCUUGGCGAACACCGAGGUGUCGGCGUUGAACUCGGCCGCGCCGUUGGCGAGGGCGCGCUCCACGAGCACGUUGCGCAGCUUCUUCAUCAGCGGGUAGUUGUGGCUGCACGGGUCGUCCGCGUACGCGAACACCGCCUCGCGGUCGAUCUCCUUGAGCAGGUCCUUCUCGCAGAAGCGUGCGACGUGGAGAUCGCCGGUGGAGUUGGUGCUGAGUGUCUUCUUGGCCACCGUCAUGACGCAGCUCUUGACGGCGCUCUUGACGUUCUCCUCGAUGUGCCGCAGGUCGACGGCCUGGCAGAGGGCGAUCAAGAACGUGGAGGACAUGAGCUUCAGGAUGUCGAUUGCCUCGUCGGUCUUCCUGGAGGAGAUGAGUCCAAGAGAGUUGACGUCCUGGUUGUGCUGCUCGGCGCUCUGGACGUGGUUGGUCACUGGGUUGCCCAAGAACUGCAGCUCGGAGCAGUAGGAGGCCAUGGCGAUCUCGGCGCCCUUGAACCCGUAGUCCAAGCUCGGGUUGCGACCGCCAGACAGGUUGGAUGGCAGGCCGUUGUUGUAGAAGUCGUUCACGAGCUCCGAGAACUGCGCGAACAUGAGCUUGCCGAUGGCAGCGAUGGCGAGGCGGGUGUUGUCCAUGGACACGCCGAUGGGCGUGCCCUGGAAGUUGCCACCGUGCAGCGCCUUGCCGCGGGAG